GUGGAUAACCUGCCUCAAGGCUGGGGAUAACAUUUGGAAACAGAUGCUAAUACCGAAUAAAACUUAGUAUCGCAUGAUAUCAAGUUAAAAGGCGCUACGGCGUCACCUAGAGAUGGAUCCGCGGUGCAUUAGUUAGUUGGUGGGGUAAAGGCUUACCAAGACGAUGAUGCAUAGCCGAGUUGAGAGACUGAUCGGCCACAUUGGGACUGAGACACGGCCCAAACUCCUACGGGAGGCUGCAGUAGGGAAUCUUCCACAAUGGGCGCAAGCCUGAUGGAGCAACGCCGCGUGUGUGAUGAAGGCUUUCGGGUCGUAAAGCACUGUUGUAUGGGAAGAAAUGCUAAAAUAGGGAAUGAUUUUAGUUUGACGGUACCAUACCAGAAAGGGACGGCUAAAUACGUGCCAGCAGCCGCGGUAAUACGUAUGUCCCGAGCGUUAUCCGGAUUUAUUGGGCGUAAAGCGAGCGCAGACGGUUGAUUAAGUCUGAUGUGAAAGCCCGGAGCUCAACUCCGGAAUGGCAUUGGAAACUGGUUAACUUGAGUGUUGUAGAGGUAAGUGGAACUCCAUGUGUAGCGGUGGAAUGCGUAGAUAUAUGGAAGAACACCAGUGGCGAAGGCGGCUUACUGGACAACAACUGACGUUGAGGCUCGAAAGUGUGGGUAGCAAACAGGAUUAGAUACCCUGGUAGUCCACACCGUAAACGAUGAAUACUAGGUGUUAGGAGGUUUCCGCCUCUUAGUGCCGAAGCUAACGCAUUAAGUAUUCCGCCUGGGGAGUACGACCGCAAGGUUGAAACUCAAAGGAAUUGACGGGGACCCGCACAAGCGGUGGAGCAUGUGGUUUAAUUCGAAGCAACGCGAAGAACCUUACCAGGUCUUGACAUCCUUUGAAGCUUUUAGAGAUAGAAGUGUUCUCUUCGGAGACAAAGUGACAGGUGGUGCAUGGUCGUCGUCAGCUCGUGUCGUGAGAUGUUGGGUUAAGUCCCGCAACGAGCGCAACCCUUAUUGUUAGUUGCCAGCAUUCAGUUGGGCACUCUAGCGAGACUGCCGGUGACAAACCGGAGGAAGGCGGGGACGACGUCAGAUCAUCAUGCCCCUUAUGACCUGGGCUACACACGUGCUACAAUGGCGUAUACAACGAGUUGCCAACCUGCGAAGGUGAGCUAAUCUCUUAAAGUACGUCUCAGUUCGGACUGCAGUCUGCAACUCGACUGCACGAAGUCGGAAUCGCUAGUAAUCGCGGAU
RNAcentral lists this ribosomal RNA (1244 nucleotides) under Leuconostoc citreum. Its description in RNAcentral is "bacterial SSU rRNA". It matches the Rfam family "Bacterial small subunit ribosomal RNA", at positions 117 to 1349 of the family's 1533-position model. The record is from RNAcentral. Lineage: Bacteria; Bacillati; Bacillota; Bacilli; Lactobacillales; Lactobacillaceae.